AAUCAAGCAUGCAGUAAGUGUGGAAAGUUUCAUUCUGGUGAUUGUUGGGUUUGUUACAUUUGCCAGAAACCUGGUCAUAUUGCUCGAUUCUGCUAUCAAAAUCAGAAUAGGGGUAAUGAUCAGAGACCUACAAUGCCAGCACGAGUGUAUGCCCUCUCUGGGCCGGAGGCUGCUAACAACCCUAAUGCUAUCCGAGGAGAAGAGCCACGAGUGACACGUGGAGGAGUCCCAGAGGCUUAGUGGUUUAGAUCCACUGUCUCUUUUGGGUAUUUGAUUUAUGAUUUAUAAUGUGUUAUAUUGCCAAUAUUAGGGCUUUUUGUUUAUUGUCAAUUAUAUUAAUAUAUAAAUGUAAUCAUGCCUUUCAAACUAUUUCUAUUUUUGGUAUACUUUGGAUGACUCUAAUUUUUAUAUUUCAUUUACUUUGAAUUGGUUAAAAUGGCAUGAUUAUGAGGCCAAAUAACUGGCUUGUGUUGAAAA
Prosopis cineraria is the source of this 477-nucleotide long non-coding RNA. RefSeq lists it as uncharacterized. Lineage: Eukaryota; Viridiplantae; Streptophyta; Magnoliopsida; Fabales; Fabaceae. The transcript is spliced from 2 exons. The record is from RefSeq and is a predicted model, not a curated record.